Molecule: long non-coding RNA, 1508 nt
Organism: Mirounga angustirostris (Northern elephant seal)
Lineage: Eukaryota; Metazoa; Chordata; Mammalia; Carnivora; Phocidae
Exons: 2
Source: RefSeq, a predicted model, not a curated record
CUGGCGGCGUGAAGCGGGAAGUGGGCGCAGCCGGCGCGUGGGGGGGGGGGGGGGGGGGUCCUCAGCGGCCCUCCCCGCGUCGGCCACAGUCGGAGACGGGUGUGCCCCGGAGAAGGGCGGCUGUCUGCCGAGGCCCGCGGCCGACACGCUGCCCCGGGGGCGCAGUGAGGCCCGCGCUCACCGGUCGCGCCCGAGAGCAGUGAGGGUUUCCUCGAGGGCCUCGGCACUGACCAUGCCCUGUCCUGUGGGCCUGGGCACGCUCACGGGGGCUCCUCUGGGCCGCUGAUUCGCGGGGGGGCUGGACGUGGGGCGAGGAGGGAGGGGACGACUUGAGCGCGCGUAUUGAAUGUUCGAGGCCAAACAUCGACGCCGCAAAGGACCAACUCAAGGCGAGACAAAGCCCUGGUCGCAGGGGGUUCAGCGGUUACAGGACCUGCAGCGGUGACACCCUCCUAAGGACGGAUGGGGACGGGGCGAGGGGCCUCAGUUAUCGAGAAAGUUCGGGGACACGGGUGCAGCGCGUACCCUACGUGCUCCCUGCUCCAGAGCCGUCCCGGAGUACCUCUCCCGCUCACCGCCCGUUACCCGAGCCCUCGAUUUGCCUAGAGGCUCCCUGGGUCUUCUCUUGUCCGACCGCGGUCUGGAGCCCUGGCCACACGGCCCUUCCCUCAGCGUCUCCGCCCUUGGCUCUGCAGUUCUGCAGGCACUUUCCCGGCUCCUCCUCCCUUGCCUUCUGUCGGGCCGCCGCGCUGAGGCCCUCACUCUCACCUCCCCUGGAAGUGUUCCUUGAGCCUCUUCAGCGCAGUCUGUGGACUGCAGUCACUCUACCGAGCAGUCCUUGGUUCUUGGGGCUUUCCCCCUUCGUUUUACAUUCGCUUGCUUUUAUGGGAGACACUGGGAAUUGAAAUCAACACAGAGAUAUUUCAACCUUUGUAACCCACGAUGGUGCUCAGAGGGGAUGGGGUGGAUCCCACUGCAAGACCAGGAGUUCACCUGCGCACCUGCAGAAGGACAUCUGGGUUGUUACCAAUUAAGCUGCGGUGAACAAUCAAAACCACAUCAUUGGGUGGACCAGGCUCUCAUUUCUCCUGGGUAAAUGUGUUGGAGUGGAAAAGCUGGGUCAUCAGGGAGUGCAUGUUUAAGAAGAAACUGUCGGACGCUUUUCCAUCCAUACCAACGUCCUUGUCAACACCUGGUAUCAACGGUCUUUCCGAUAGCCAUUAAUUCUCUCGUGACUAGUUUGUGUUUUCCUGAGGACUAGUGAGAUGCAAAGAUCUUUCAUGCGCAUCACCAUUCACGUAUCUUCCUUGGUUAAGUGUCUGUUCAAACUUUGUCCUAGUUUUUAAAAAUGGUUUAUUGCUUUUUUUGAAUUCUGAGUGUUUUUUAAAAAUAUAUUCUGAGUGUGCUACUUCCCAGUACUGUAUUAUCUCCCAUGACGUGGCUUGCUAUUUUAUUUAGUAGUAUCUUUCAAAAAGUAAAAUUUAUUAAUUAAAGUCCAGUUUAUCAAA